Molecule: ribosomal RNA, 790 nt
Filed under: methanogenic prokaryote enrichment culture J0704707_A19-18_M13R-48
Description: bacterial SSU rRNA
Rfam family: Archaeal small subunit ribosomal RNA
Source: RNAcentral
ACUGCUCAGUAACACGUGGAUAACCUGCCCUAAGGAAGGGGAUAACCCCGGGAAACUGGGGAUAAUACCCUAUAGGUUACAGAUGCUGGAAUGCUCUGUAACCGAAAGCUCCGGCGCCUUAGGAUGGAUCUGCGGCCGAUUAGGUUGUUGUCGGGGUAACGGCCCAACAAGCCAGUAAUCGGUACGGGUUGUGGGAGCAAGAGCCCGGAGUUGGAUUCUGAGACACGAAUCCAGGCCCUACGGGGCGCAGCAGGCGCGAAAACUUUACAAUGCGGGCAACCGUGAUAAGGGAACCUCGAGUGCCUGUAUAUGCGGGCUGUCUGGGUGUCUAAAACACACCUAAAGAAAGGGCCGGGCAAGACCGGUGCCAGCCGCCGCGGUAAUACCGGCGGCUCGAGUGGUGGCCACUUUUAUUGGGCUUAAAGCGUUCGUAGCUGGGUUAUUAAGUCCCUUGGGAAAUCCGACGGCUUAACCGUCGGGCGUCUAAGGGAUACUGGCAAUCUUGGAACCGGGAGAGGUGAGGGGUACUUCGGGGGUAGGAGUGAAAUCCUGUAAUCCUCGGGGGACCACCUGUGGCGAAGGCGCCUCACCAGAACGGCUUCGACAGUGAGGGACGAAAGCUGGGGGAGCAAACCGGAUUAGAUACCCGGGUAGUCCCAGCCGUAAACGAUGUGCGUUAGGUGUAUCGGUGACCACGAGUCACCGAGGUGCCGAAGGGAAACCGUGAAACGUACCGCCUGGGAAGUACGGUCGCAAGGCUGAAACUUAAAGGAAUUGGCGGGGGAGCACA